GAUGAAGAACGUAGCGAAAUGCGAUACUUGGUGUGAAUUGCAGAAUCCCGUGAACCAUCGAGUCUUUGAACGCAAGUUGCGCCCGAAGCCAUUAGGUCGAGGGCACGCCUGCCUGGGCGUCACACGUCGUUGCCCCCCCAUCUACUCCUUCGGGAUUGCGGGGGGCGGAUGAUGGCCUCCCGUGCGCCUCGUCGCGCGGUUGGCAUAAAUGCCAAGUCCUCGGCGACGCACGCCACGACAAUCGGUGGUUGCGAAACCUCGGUUGCCCGUCGUGUGCGGUCGUCGCGCAUCGAGGGCUCGAAAAAAUUGUCGGGCUCCGGCUCGGCUUUCAACGCGACCCCAGGUCAGGCGGGGUUACCCGCUGAAUUUAAGCAUAUCAAUAAGCGGAGGA
This 391-nucleotide unclassified non-coding RNA is filed under the name soil metagenome. RNAcentral's name for it is "partial contains 5.8S ribosomal RNA, internal transcribed spacer 2, and large subunit ribosomal RNA". The stretch from base 1 to 122 matches the Rfam family "5.8S ribosomal RNA", at positions 35 to 154 of the family's 154-position model. The record is from RNAcentral.